RNAcentral lists this ribosomal RNA (434 nucleotides) under uncultured bacterium. Its description in RNAcentral is "bacterial SSU rRNA". It matches the Rfam family "Bacterial small subunit ribosomal RNA", at positions 355 to 796 of the family's 1533-position model. The record is from RNAcentral.
UGGGGAAUUUUUGGCAAUGGGGGAAACCCUGACCAAGCAACGCCGCGUGGAUGAUGAAGUAUCUCGGUACGUAAAAUCCUUUCGACAGGGAAGAAACCCGCAAGGGUUGACGGUACCUGUAGAAGAAGCCCCGGCUAACUCCGUGCCAGCAGCCGCGGUAAUACGGGGGGGGCAAGCGUUGUUCGGAAUUACUGGGCGUAAAGGGCGCGUAGGCGGUCUGUUAAGUUGGAUGUGAAAACUCUGGGCUUAACCCAGAGCCUGCAUCCAAAACUAGCAGGCUAGAGUUCUGGAGGGGAUAGCGGAAUUCCUGGUGUAGCGGUGAAAUGCGUAGAUAUCAGGAGGAACACCGGUGGCGAAGGCGGCUAUCUGGACAGAGUCUGACGCUGAGGCGCGAAAGCUAGGGGAGCAAACAGGAUUAGAUACCCCCGUAGUCC